RNAcentral lists this ribosomal RNA (345 nucleotides) under Triticum aestivum (bread wheat). RNAcentral describes it as "partial small subunit ribosomal RNA". The record is from RNAcentral. Lineage: Eukaryota; Viridiplantae; Streptophyta; Magnoliopsida; Poales; Poaceae.
AUGUGGCACCUGCUCCUAGAAUGCCCGUUUACGCGGCAGGUUUGGUACGACGUGCUGGCUUGGGCGAGGAUACCUUCUCAACCGCCAAGCAAUGAACCCAGCCUCACGGAUUGGUGGCAAGGAACGAAAGGGCAGACCCCACAGGCGCUACGGAAAGGCCUGCAAUCCAUCGCCAUGCUCGUUCCUUGGAUGAUCUGGAAACAGCGAAACGAGUGCGUCUUCGAGAAUGCACGCCCCUCUGUUACCGCACUCGUAGAUAGGAUUAAGGCCGAACCCAAAUGUUGGGCACAAGCUGGCGCUUUGGGUCUCAGGGUAGUCCUCCCCACUAACUGGGAUGUCCACUGA